RNAcentral lists this long non-coding RNA (476 nucleotides) under Saimiri boliviensis boliviensis (Bolivian squirrel monkey). RNAcentral's name for it is "lncRNA (ENSSBOG00000036747.1)". The record is from RNAcentral. Lineage: Eukaryota; Metazoa; Chordata; Mammalia; Primates; Cebidae.
GCGCCUUGUCUGCCCUUAAAGCGCCCACUGGGCGGCCGAGCCCCACUCCUCUCGUCCAGACGCACGACGGGAGUUGCGCCUAGCUCUCGUGCGUCCCGGGUUCGCUUUUCUUUCCUUUCCGAAGCCUGGCCCUUAGAUCCACCACCGCAGAGUCUCCGGCCGCCAGGAAGCGCAGAUCCCAGUGUCCGGAGACUAACCGGAAGUGCCGUCCCCAGGCCCAGGGGCGGCGCCGGCGGCUGCCUGGGAGAGGGAAGAACUGACUGUCCCUGUGGACUAGGGACAUUUUGAAACCAAAAGGAAGAUGGUUUUGAGUCUUUCUUGUUACGAAUGCUGUCUUCCUCGAGAAGUCAAAUUCUCAGGAUCAAGGAUGCACAUUUUCUUCCAUCUGGAUUCUAGGUAAGCUACAGCUACUUCAGCCUUGACAUGUCCCUUCUCUUUCCCAGACUCCAUCUCAUCAGAGUAGCUCCCAUUCCUUG